Molecule: long non-coding RNA, 1004 nt
Organism: Oncorhynchus tshawytscha (Chinook salmon)
Lineage: Eukaryota; Metazoa; Chordata; Actinopteri; Salmoniformes; Salmonidae
Source: Ensembl
UCUGCCGUCUUGUACACAUCAGAGUAGAGCCCCGCCUUUUGGAACUUCUUCUUUGGAGGCCUGGCUGCUCUCUUUUCCCGUUGGCUGGUUAUAGGCAUGGGUGGAGCUUGUUCCAUGGAGACGAUGCCCGGACAUUCCGGGGAGGAGGGGCCAUCUGGUUUCCCCUCCAGAGCACUGAAAUAGAACAAAGAGUCAGUUUAUAGUGAUGACUGGCUUGAUAGUCUCUCGCUAUAUAUAUAUAUAUAUAUACACACACAGCUGCUAAAAUCUAAGAUUAGCGCUGCCUAUGGAAGUAAACUGCAACAUAAUCACGGUUCUCCACUCUCAUCGUUGAGGCUACAAUCACGUGUUGGCCUGUAGUGGUGGUGGUUUUACCUGCGAAAGCGGUGCAGCUCCUCUUGGGUGAGCCAACCACUUCCUCCCUCAGCACUGGCCCUGAUCCCCAAGCCACCCAGGUUCUCCUCCCUGUCCAGAGCUCGUUCCUCCACCUCCCCCCCUUCCUCCUCCUCCUCCUCCCUUUCUCUCUCCCAGUGCUUCCUCUUCUGGCCUUUCCUGAACUGGCCCUGGACCACCGACUCGAUCGCGUCCGUCACAGUGUCCCCCUUCCACGCUCCUCCUCCACGUUCCCGGUGCCUGGUCUGGGUCACUUCGGCCAGAGGGGGCGGCGACGGGGGCGGGGAAGGCAAGGGAUGCUUCCUGGGGCGCCCGGGGCCUCUCUUCUUGACCAUGUUGUUACCUGUCCUCGCCUGUCUCUGAAGCUUCUUUGCACGGAGGAUCUUGUUGACGUGGUGCAGGCUGUGUUUAGAGGGCUGGGCCCGGUGGGAGUGGUGUGGCGGUGAGGCCUCAUCGUCCAGGCAGCAGUCCUGGGACGGCGAGUUGUGGCCACAGUGAGAGAGGCAGGCGGAGGAGGAAGAGUGGAACAGAGGAGGGUGGUGGUGGUGCUGCCUGAGGUGGUCCUCAGGGGUAGAGUGGUCGGCUCGGGUCGGGACACUAGAUGUACAGCC